Molecule: ribosomal RNA, 113 nt
Filed under: Danio rerio (zebrafish)
Lineage: Eukaryota; Metazoa; Chordata; Actinopteri; Cypriniformes; Danionidae
Source: RNAcentral
GCCGGCAGCUAGCUCUCUGCAACUCCCACAGUCGCCCACUGAAGCUAAGCAGGGCUGCGCCCGGUCAGUACCUGGAUGGGAGACCACAUGGGAAAGCUAGGUUGCUGCCGGAA